Erinaceus europaeus (western European hedgehog) is the source of this 1549-nucleotide long non-coding RNA. RefSeq lists it as uncharacterized. NCBI's taxonomy places the organism in Eukaryota, Metazoa, Chordata, Mammalia, Eulipotyphla, Erinaceidae. The transcript has 3 exons. The record is from RefSeq and is a predicted model, not a curated record.
CUGUGACAUCCUGUUUUUUCAGACUCACAAGCUCAUUCUCUUCUUUCCCAGUGACUCCGAGAGACUGUGUGAAUCCUACAUUUCACCAUUCCCAGGACAAUCUGCUUUCUCUGAGGGACUUCUCUGGAGCCCAGCAAGCUGAAUAUCACCCUCACACAUGUGACAGUGUGAAAGGAGAAGAUAAAGUGCAGCUCCAUUUAAGGGAUAGAAUUCUUGAUGAGGCAUUGCCCUUGGAAACCAGCAGCCCAGUCCAGCCCAGCCUGCCUGUGCCAUCAGUCACAAUCAGUUUUGCUUGUUCCACAGCUGACCCUCUAUGAAGAAAAGAAUUUCAUCAGUUGGCGCUGACGACCACCAGAGGACCAGACGUGCUGUGGUUUUUCCCCUGACCAUCGCAUCGACUGACUGCUCCCCUUAGACUUGCUGGUGGACUUUGGGACAAUCUCUCUAUGCUGCUGGACUCAUUGAAAAUCAACUUCAACAGUCCAUUUGACUUCACCUCUGACAGCUUGGAGCCUCUCCAGAGACAGAUAAAUUCCCUUGCUAAGGUGGUAAUCCAGAACCGCCAUGGUUUCGACUUCAUUUAUGCUAAACAGUGUGAUCUUUGUCUAGAAAAAUGUUGUUUCUUUCGUAAAUGAAAUUAUAUUUGUAGAACAGAAUGUUGAUACCUUGCACAAACUCAGCUGUGAUAUUAAGAAUUCCUUUCCCCUUUUCAAUACUAACUCUUGGCUUUCUUCUCCUUUAACUGCUUGGCUUCUGCUUCUCCUAGGCCCUUUGCUAGCUGUUGCAGUCCUAUUACUGAUUGCUCCUUGCCUCAUUCAAUUCCUCAAGAAAUGCAUACAUGACAUUAUUCAUGUCACAGUGCAGAGGGUCUCUGUUCACCCUUACACUCGUAUUCCUUUAGAAGAGAUAAAUGUUCUUGCUGACACUGAUCCAUAGACAUUGUUAAUUAAUUAAAGAAAUAAGGAGGAGAUGUUGGGACUAUGUGUAAGCUUGAUAUAGCUUAGGGAGAACUAAGAACUAAGAACUGAAUGGAGGUCUGAGAAGAUACCCCCUUGUGAGUCUCUCUCAACCGAGGUGAGCAAAGGGAAGGAACUCAGACUUAGUUCUUUCCUUCUUGACUCUCAGGCCCACAGAAACCCCAAUACUUCUCCCAGUUAACUGCAGGCCACAUGGCUGACUACUUUAAGAUUCAUUUACUCAAAGUCACCUUACCUUCUGAUCACAGAGGAGAACACACCUUAUCACACACUCCAUCAUACACCUCAGACCCCAGACAAGAGAAAUUCCAAACUAUAUGGCCUUUUGAUAUCCAUCUUCUCUCUGUCUCACCCUACUGGUUUAACCCCUAUGCUUCUCUCAAAUACCUUUGGUUAAUUAAGUUGCUUGUGUCAUGGAGAAUAACUGUCUUGUAUCUCAUCAAUUCCUGUCAUACCAGCCCCCUACCAUAAGGGCAAGCUGACCUUUAAGACACCUGUAAUUUCUGACAUAUUUCAAUAAUUCUCUUUGUUUGGUUUUCUAUUUAACUCAUGUCCACUGGCUAAUAAACGAG